This 70-nucleotide transfer RNA is filed under the name Camelus bactrianus (Bactrian camel). It matches the Rfam family "tRNA". From Rfam's summary of the family: Transfer RNA (tRNA) molecules are approximately 80 nucleotides in length. Their secondary structure includes four short double-helical elements and three loops (D, anti-codon, and T loops). Further hydrogen bonds mediate the characteristic L-shaped molecular structure. tRNAs have two regions of fundamental functional importance: the anti-codon, which is responsible for specific mRNA codon recognition, and the 3' end, to which the tRNAs corresponding amino acid is attached (by aminoacyl-tRNA synthetases). tRNAs cope with the degeneracy of the genetic code in two manners: having more than one tRNA (with a specific anti-codon) for a particular amino acid; and 'wobble' base-pairing, i.e. permitting non-standard base-pairing at the 3rd anti-codon position. Lineage: Eukaryota; Metazoa; Chordata; Mammalia; Artiodactyla; Camelidae. RNAcentral also lists the same sequence under 3 other names. The record is from Rfam by way of RNAcentral.
GGGUAUAGCUCAGUGGAAGGGCACCUGCUUAGCACGCACCAGGUCCUGGGUUUAAUCCCCAGUAUUUCCA